GGAGUUAGCCGGUGCUUCUUCUGUGAGUGAUGUCCUUCCUGCCGGUUAUUGACCCGCAGGCCUUCUUCCUCACUGAAAGUGCUUUACAACCCGAAGGCCUUCUUCACACACGCGGCAUGGCUGGAUCAGGGUUGCCCCCAUUGUCCAAUAUUCCCCACUGCUGCCUCCCGUAGGAGUCUGGGCCGUGUCUCAGUCCCAGUGUGGCUGAUCAUCCUCUCAGACCAGCUACGGAUCGUCGCCUUGGUGAGCCGUUACCUCACCAACCAGCUAAUCCGACAUAGGCUCAUCCGAUAGCGCGAGGCCCGAAGGUCCCCCGCUUUCCCCCGUAGGGCGUAUGCGGUAUUAGCCUGGGUUUCCCCCAGGUUAUCCCCCACUACCGGGCAGAUUCCUAUGCAUUACUCACCCGUCCGCCGCUCGCCACCAGGGAGCAAGCUCCCCGUGAUGCCGCUCGACUUGCAUGUGUUAGGCCUGCCGCCAGCGUUCAAUCUGAGCCAUGAUCAAACUCUGA
RNAcentral lists this ribosomal RNA (508 nucleotides) under uncultured bacterium. RNAcentral describes it as "partial 16S ribosomal RNA". The record is from RNAcentral.